GACGAACGCUGGCGGCGUGCCUAAUACAUGCAAGUCGAACGCAUUUUCUUUCACCGUAGCUUGCUACACCGACAGAAAAUGAGUGGCGAACGGGUGAGUAACACGUGGUUAACCUGCCCAUCAGCGGUGGAUAACACUUGGAAACAGGUGCUAAUACCGCAUAAUUCCAUUUACUGCAUGUUAGAUGGCUGAAAGGCGCUUUUGCGUCACUGAUGGAUGGACCCGCGGUGCAUUAGCUAGUGGGUGGGGUACCAGCCUACCAAGGCUGGGAUGCAUAGCCGCCCUGCGAGGGUGCUAGGCAUCGCUGGGAUGGAGACACGACCAAGAAUCCUGCGGGAGGCAGCCGUCGCGGAUCUUUGGCGAUGGACGCAAGUGUGAACGUGCAACGCCGCGCGAGUGACGAAGGUUGUAAGAUCGUAAGACUCUUGAGUUAGAUAGGAUUGUAGAUCUGUGUGGAAAGUUAUGACAAUGACGGUACCUGAACAGUAAGCCCCGGCUAACUCCGUG
RNAcentral lists this ribosomal RNA (507 nucleotides) under uncultured bacterium. RNAcentral's name for it is "partial 16S ribosomal RNA". It matches the Rfam family "Bacterial small subunit ribosomal RNA", at positions 28 to 507 of the family's 1533-position model. The record is from RNAcentral.